This 451-nucleotide ribosomal RNA is filed under the name uncultured bacterium. Its description in RNAcentral is "partial 16S ribosomal RNA". It matches the Rfam family "Bacterial small subunit ribosomal RNA", at positions 354 to 796 of the family's 1533-position model. The record is from RNAcentral.
GUGGGGAAUAUUGGACAAUGGGGGGAACCCUGAUCCAGCCAUGCCGCGUGUGUGAAGAAGGCCUUUUGGUUGUAAAGCACUUUAAGCGAGGAGGAGGCUACCGAGAUUAAUACUCUUGGAUAGUGGACGUUACUCGCAGAAUAAGCACCGGCUAACUCUGUGCCAGCAGCCGCGGUAAUACAGAGGGUGCAAGCGUUAAUCGGAUUUACUGGGCGUAAAGCGCGCGUAGGUGGCCAAUUAAGUCAAAUGUGAAAUCCCCGAGCUUAACUUGGGAAUUGCAUUCGAUACUGGUUGGCUAGAGUAUGGGAGAGGAUGGUAGAAGUCCAGGUGUAGCGGUGAAAUGCGUAGAGAUCUGGAGGAAUACCGAUGGCGAAGGCAGCCAUCUGGCCUAAUACUGACACUGAGGUGCGAAAGCAUGGGGAGCAAACAGGAUUAGAAACCCGAGUAGUCC